This 253-nucleotide ribosomal RNA is filed under the name uncultured bacterium. Its description in RNAcentral is "partial 16S ribosomal RNA". It matches the Rfam family "Bacterial small subunit ribosomal RNA", at positions 524 to 776 of the family's 1533-position model. The record is from RNAcentral.
GACAGAGGGGGCAAGCGUUGCUCGGAAUCACUGGGCGUAAAGGGCGCGUAGGCGGGAUGGCAAGUCGGUCGUGAAAUCUCUCGGCUCAACCGAGAAACGUCGGCCGAUACUGCCGUUCUUGAGGGAUGCAGAGGAGACUGGAAUUCCCGGUGUAGCGGUGAAAUGUGUAGAGAUCGGGAGGAACACCGGUGGCGAAGGCGGGUCUCUGGGCAUUUCCUGACGCUGAGGCGCGAAGGCGUGGGGAGCAACCGGG